AGCAGCCGCGGUAAUUCCAGCUCCAAUAGCGUAUAUUAAAGUUGUUGUGGUUAAAAGCUCGUAGUUGAACCUUGGGCCUGGCUGGCCGGUCCGCCUCACCGCGUGUACUGGUCCGGCCGGGCCUUUCCCUCUGUGGAACCCCAUGCCCUUCACUGGGUGUGGCGGGGAAACAGGACUUUUACUUUGAAAAAAUUAGAGUGCUCCAGGCAGGCCUAUGCUCGAAUACAUUAGCAUGGAAUAAUAGAAUAGGACGUGUGGUUCUAUUUUGUUGGUUUCUAGGACCGCCGUAAUGAUUAAUAGGGACAGUCGGGGGCAUCAGUAUUCAAUUGUCAGAGGUGAAAUUCUUGGAUUUAUUGAAGACUAACUACUGCGAAAGCAUUUGCCAAGGAUGUUUUCAUUAAUCAGGAACGAAAGUUAGGGGAUCGAAGACGAUCAGAUACCGUCGUAGUCUUAACCAUAAACUAAUGCCGACUAGGGAUCGGAC
This 484-nucleotide ribosomal RNA is filed under the name uncultured Paraglomus. Its description in RNAcentral is "SSU rRNA". It matches the Rfam family "Eukaryotic small subunit ribosomal RNA", at positions 569 to 1058 of the family's 1831-position model. The record is from RNAcentral. Lineage: Eukaryota; Fungi; Glomeromycota; Glomeromycetes; Paraglomerales; Paraglomeraceae.